UUGUCAAGUUCAGUACAGGAUAAACAGGGACAAAAAGCUGUGGUUCCUGUCACAGCUGCUGAGGUACCAAUCAAGCUUCACUCAAUCACAGAAUCAUAGAUCAUAGAAUCACUCAGGUUGGAAAAGACCUCCAAGAUCAUCAGGUCCAACCACAGCCAAACCAUAGUACCCUAACUCUAACAACCCUCUGCUGAAUCAUAACUCUGAGCAUCACAGGAGUUAGAAGGGACCUCUGGAAACCACUGAGUCCAACCCACUGCUAAAGCAGGUUCCCUACAGCGGGUUAUACAGUAAAGCAUCCAGAUGGAUCACGAAUAUCUGCAGAGAAGGAGACUCCACCUCUCUGUGCAGCCUGUCCCUGUGCUCCAUCACACCCAAACUAAAGCUCUUCAUGCUUAUAUGGAACAUAAGCUGCUUCCGAAGUAACUCCUCCUGUUUAUUCCCACAGGAACCACACAGAGCCCUAUCACAGAAUCACAGAAUUGUAGGGGUUGAAAGGGACCUCUAGAGAUCAUCGAGUCCAACCCCCCUGCCAAAGCAGGCUCCAUACACCACAUCACACAGGUAAGCGUCCAGGUGGGUCUUGAAUAUCUCCAGAGAAGGAGACUCCACCACCUCCCUGGGCAGCCUGUUCCAGUGCUCCGUCACCCUCACUGUAAAGAAGUUCUUACAGAACUAUAACGCUAUUUGAUAGAGCAAAUACUCGCGGAACGCCGCCCACCCCUCAGCCCCUCACUUCAGCGCCUCAAAGCGGUUUAAUGAGAGAUCCACAACCCCCCCCAACAGAGAGCCCCACCCGGAGCCUUCUCGGUCACCUGGAGCCGGGGACAACGAGACGGGAGAGAAGCGACGAGGAGAUAUAAGAAACCGAACAGCACGAAACAACCCGGAACAACAAGGAACAGCCCCACAGCCCUCAGGGCACAACGGCCGCAGCUCCCGCCUCCCGCCAUAGCGCCAGCAAAUCAGCGCGAGCGCGGCGGGAAACCGAGAGGAAACCGCCUCCUCAGGUCCCGGCCACCAGCUACCUUGGAAUAUGGCUUUGAAGAGCAGAGAACACUUGUUGACCAACCUGUGAACCACCAAGAGAGAUGCUGGCACAGACACAUUGUCUUGAAUGUUAAUGGAGAGAAGAGUGGAUCCAAGCCCUCACAGCCUGAAUCAAACAGACUAUAUGAUCAGACAGACCUGCAGUACACCAGGUUACCAUCCUAUCACAAAUUAUCUUUGAUGUUUUCUUUAGUAGAGAGAAACUGAUUCUGUAGAUGGAGUCAUUAGAAGGCUUUAUGGAAGGAACAGGUCUCAAAGAGAACCUUAAAAAGUCAAGUUUGGUAAAGAAUUUACAAGGCUUGAGAACGGAUUUGCACCAGGAUGAGGGACGUGGAAAAAAACUGUUUAGUUUUCUGGGAGAUCAUAGAUUUUAGUGCAGGUAUCCUCAGCUU
RNAcentral lists this long non-coding RNA (1442 nucleotides) under Coturnix japonica (Japanese quail). RNAcentral's name for it is "lncRNA (ENSCJPG00005003997.1)". Lineage: Eukaryota; Metazoa; Chordata; Aves; Galliformes; Phasianidae. The record is from RNAcentral.